This is a long non-coding RNA of Pyrus x bretschneideri (Chinese white pear), 722 nucleotides long. RefSeq lists it as uncharacterized. NCBI's taxonomy places the organism in Eukaryota, Viridiplantae, Streptophyta, Magnoliopsida, Rosales, Rosaceae. The record is from RefSeq and is a predicted model, not a curated record. The transcript has 3 exons.
UCCCUUUCUAUUUGUCGCCAUAGUCUCCAUCGCUCUCAAACGUUCGUUUCUAUCCCUGUCAAAUCUUGGCUCGCUGGAAAAAUCCGAAGUAGUUUAAACUUCUUCAGCUUUUUGAUUUGGAUUGAAGAUGAUUUUAAGCCAAAAAGGUUAACGUUUUCUGGAAACGGUGGUGUUGCAAUUUUGGGGCUUUCAUGUGCAACCUUGGAACCACUUUGUGCUCAAGGUAUAUAAAAGGAGACGGUACUCUUCGUUUUUUGGGGCUUUUGUGUGAAGCUUUCGAAGCCCUCUGUGCUCAAGGUAAAUAAUUUUGGUUUUUUCCUUUUGAGGCUUUUGUGGAAUAAUUCUUUUUGUUUUUUGGUUUUUUGGUUUUUUGUUUUUGUAAUAUUGUGAUAGUUUUAUUUUGUAUAUUGUGAAAGUUGAUUGUUUGAGAAACUGAGUAACUGUGUAUUUGUUUGUAGUUAUGGUAUGAGACGUGAUAUAAAUUGAACAGGAUGAGAUAAGGUAUUUAGGUAGUACAACAAUUGAUCGUGAAAAACUAUUAACAAACUACAUUUGAAACAUUCAUUCAUUUAUGUUAUAUGUGGUGGUUCCAAGCUUGAGUUCUUUUUCCAUGCAGCCUUCUGUUGACCAAUACGGGUCUAUGCAUUCUGGUAAUGCUACAAAUGGAUAAAUCACAUCAGAGCGUCUGCUACCCCUUUGUUACCUGAUUUCAUGGAUUCAUU